RNAcentral lists this ribosomal RNA (490 nucleotides) under uncultured bacterium. RNAcentral describes it as "bacterial SSU rRNA". It matches the Rfam family "Bacterial small subunit ribosomal RNA", at positions 215 to 697 of the family's 1533-position model. The record is from RNAcentral.
UCACUUUAGGAUGAGCCCGCGGCGCAUUAGCUAGUUGGUGGGGUAAAGGCCUACCAAGGCAAUGAUGCGUAGCCGAGUUGAGAGACUGAUCGGCCAUAUUGGGACUGAGACACGGCCCAAACUCCUACGGGAGGCAGCAGUAGGGAAUCUUCCACAAUGGACGCAAGUCUGAUGGAGCAACGCCGCGUGAGUGAAGAAGGUCUUCGGAUCGUAAAGCUCUGUUGUUGGUGAAGAAGGAUAGAGGCAGUAACUGGUCUUUAUUUGACGGUAAUCAACCAGAAAGUCACGGCUAACUACGUGCCAGCAGCCGCGGUAAUACGUAGGUGGCAAGCGUUGUCCGGAUUUAUUGGGCGUAAAGCGAGCGCAGGCGGAAUGAUAAGUCUGAUGUGAAAGCCCACGGCUCAACCGUGGAACUGCAUCGGAAACUGUCAUUCUUGAGUGCAGAAGAGGAGAGUGGAACUCCAUGUGUAGCGGUGGAAUGCGUAGAUAU